UAAGAAUUGUAAUUACAGCAGUAAUAAUCAGAAUACUCACAUACGUCCAACUCAGAGCAGUUGUUAAGUUAAAAUUCCCCAUGUUAUACACAGUUGUAAUUUGGUUUCUUAACUGUUAUGAUUGGGUCUUUUUCUCAAUAUAAGAAUGCCAAGUUGUGAAGUGCCCAUAUUCCCAAGCUGAGUCUCCCUCUUGCUUACACAGCAAUAAAGUGAGGAAUAAUCCAUGGCCUACUGAACUCACCCUCAGACUGACAGCUGUCUCUGCAACUAAGUAAGCAAACUCCGGGCUUCACGCUCCCUGGGAAACCCACAAGAGACCAGGAGGCAGCACUCUUACAGAGAACAUGAAUGGAAUCGUACUGUUAAACAUUGCUACUUGAAUCAUUAACUUUAAGAAAAUGAAGUUGGAAUAUUAAAGAAAAAGAAAAGCCCAGAAAUGCCAGCAUGAAUUGAAUGGCAACUUUGCCAGAACAAUCAGGUGGAGUUUUGCUCUUGUUGCUCAGGCUGGAGUGCAAUGGCGCGAUCUCGGCUCUCUGCAUCCUCCGCCUCCCGGGUUCAAGCGAUUCUCUUGCCUCGGCCUCCCGAGAAGCUGGGAUUACGGGCAUAUGCCACCACGCCUGGCUAAUUUUGUAUUUUUAGUAGAGACCGGGUUUCUCCAAGUUGGUCAGGCUGGUCUCACACUCCCAACCCCAGGUGAUCCGCCCGCCUCGGCCUCCGAAAGUGCUGGGAUUACAGGCAUGAGCCACUGUGCCCGGCCUGAAGUUUCUUUUUUGUUUUUUAACUGUCCUCACCUGUCACAUAUCUAAAACAGUGUAUUUUAUUUACUCUAUGUUUAUGUAAAGAGUUUUAAAAUUUUGACAGUAGCUUAGAUUUUCAUUGGUAGAAUAUCAAGCUUGUUUAGGUUUUUAAGAGUUAUUAAAUGUCAUUAACUUCAUAAUUAAAUCUUAAGCUAUUUAUAAAAAUUGUGUGCUCCAUACGUAAUGCUAAGUACAUUCCUGCUCUAUAAGAUGUUCCACCGAACUUUAGAUUUGUAUAUCAAUGCAAAACCAAAUGAUUUUAUUAUCAGUGUUACACUUUUACCAAAAUUUAUAACAAAUAGCUUUCACAAUAACACCCUGCUUUUUUUUUUUUGGGGGGGGGGCAACUUUAUUUACAAAAAUUUUGCUUUGAUUCCAUAAAUUGAAUGAAAAAUAUAGAAUAAUCAUUAGAAUUUAGUGAUUUUUCUGUUUGAAGCAAUUAAGGACACUGUAUCAUUAGCAAGAAAUGAUACUAAUGGAGUCAAGAAAGAAGAAUUAUUACGUCACUCCUGAACUUUUAAAAGUAAUACCAGAAACUGAAAAUUGAUUUACAAAAUUUUUAAUCGUAGUCAUUUUAUCUAAAUAAAAAGUAAUGCUUCAUGGAGUGUUACAUAAAUGCACCCUCUGCAACUGCACUUCUU
RNAcentral lists this long non-coding RNA (1438 nucleotides) under Homo sapiens (human). RNAcentral describes it as "HSALNT0339477". The record is from RNAcentral. Lineage: Eukaryota; Metazoa; Chordata; Mammalia; Primates; Hominidae.